GAUAAACGCUGGCGGCGUGCCUAACACAUGCAAGUCGAACGCUCUCGGGCAACCGAGAGAAGUGGCGGACGGGUGAGGAACACGUGGGUAUCUGCCUUUCGGUGAGGAAUACCGGCGAGAAAUCGCCGACAAUACCGCAUAUCCUUCUUUCGGGAAGGAAAGUCGCAAGACGCCGGAAGAUGAGCCUGCGCCCGAUUAGCUGGUUGGUGGGGUAAUGGCCUACCAAAGCGACGAUCGGUAGCUGGUCUGAGAGGACGAUCAGCCACACUGGGAUUGAGAACGGCCCAGACUCCUACUGGGGGGCAGCAGUGAGGAAUUUUCGUCAAUGGGGGCAACCCUGAACGAGCAACGCCGCGUGCAGGACGAAGGUCUUCGGAUCGUAAACUGCUUUUCUCUGGGACGAGAACGGACGGUACCAGAGGAAGAAGCCCCGGCUAACUACGUGCCAGCAGCCGCGGUAA
RNAcentral lists this ribosomal RNA (461 nucleotides) under uncultured bacterium. Its description in RNAcentral is "bacterial SSU rRNA". It matches the Rfam family "Bacterial small subunit ribosomal RNA", at positions 28 to 523 of the family's 1533-position model. The record is from RNAcentral.